ACUAGAAGGAGCUAUUAACAACUAAUGAUAGCUGUCUAAUGCAAGAGGAAUAUCACACUGGAUACUACAUGAUCCACUAGUCAAGCCAUCCACACUCACUCAUGCCUCAAAUGGCAAACAUGACUGCACCAUUGUGUAAUAAAAUGCUAGUAUUCUUAUUGAAUGAAUAAAUGAGUGUUAUAUAUAAUGGGA
Amphimedon queenslandica is the source of this 192-nucleotide long non-coding RNA. RefSeq lists it as uncharacterized. The record is from RefSeq and is a predicted model, not a curated record. NCBI's taxonomy places the organism in Eukaryota, Metazoa, Porifera, Demospongiae, Haplosclerida, Niphatidae. The transcript is spliced from 2 exons.